GCCACCUUUAUCACAGAGAGCCUGCUGUUGCACUGGAGGUCUGUAGCCUUUAUCACACAGGGCAUCCCUGUCACACCCAUCAGCUGGAACAGUCAGACCAACUUUAAAAACUGAACAUUUUACAUAUCAUCUUAAUUGAAAUUACCAGGACAGUGUCGUCCACUUACAGGAAUUUUCUGACAACUUCAAAGGAAGGGAAAGAAUGCCAAGAAUAGAGAAACGCAUAUAUAACGAUACUGGUUCAUACAGUGUAUCCACGAUUGAAAUGCAGUUUGACGAACAAUUAAGUGAGAUGAAAUAUAAAGCCACUGACAGAAGCGCCGAUAAAAAAUAUGUAGUUAUCUUCUGCAGUCAGGUCGAAGCAGAAGAGAAGGCUAAAGAAAAUACGGAAUGCAUGUUCAUAAAGGUUCUGGAUGGGACUCACGAGGGACAGUAUGGGUAUGCUGAACCUCCUCCCAAGACGUCUUGUCCAUAUAUGUGAUGCAGACAGAUCGCUUAUGCACUCUGUAAGUACUGAAUGAAUAUUGUGAGAAGGAGGAUGUUUCUGUUCUAGUGGAUCUAACAACUCCAAAGUUGGAUCAUGCUAAAAUGUCUUUUAACAAAUCAUUGUGUGGAGAACAUGCAUACUCAUUCACAUUUCCUCCCAUUUACAGUCACAUAGAAGAACUGGAUUAGAUAGGAAAUUACUUUACAGCUAAAAUACAAGUUUAUAUAAUUCAUUCUUUAUCCUCACAAUUCUUUAUGUCUUUUUUCAGGAAGAAGAAGAAGGGAGUGACCUAUGAAAAUCAUCCUAAUUUCAUCCAGUCAGUCUAUCAGUCUAUCAAUUAAAGUUGAGUAGUUCCCUUUCACAGCCCCAAAUGCAGAAUAAGAUACACUUUUUUUUUUAACCACUCAUGUUAUGUAAUAUUUACAGUAUUGUACAAAAAAUGUUUAGGUUCUCUUAUAGUGAUGUAUUUGUAUGUUUUAUUAACAAAUCCUUGCUGGAUGUACCAUUCCCAUUCCUGAUCCUGUUUAAGAAAAUCAUUUUUGUGAAAUGAUGGACUGGAUUCUAAAUGAUAAUCUUACUAAUAAACUAUGAUGUCAGUGAAAAU
Molecule: long non-coding RNA, 1091 nt
Filed under: Lepisosteus oculatus (spotted gar)
Lineage: Eukaryota; Metazoa; Chordata; Actinopteri; Semionotiformes; Lepisosteidae
Description: lncRNA (ENSLOCG00000021729.1)
Source: RNAcentral